This 516-nucleotide ribosomal RNA is filed under the name Platylepas decorata. RNAcentral describes it as "partial 16S rRNA". It matches the Rfam family "Archaeal large subunit ribosomal RNA", at positions 1908 to 2678 of the family's 2987-position model. The record is from RNAcentral. Lineage: Eukaryota; Metazoa; Arthropoda; Thecostraca; Balanomorpha; Coronulidae.
UUCCUCUUGGCUAUAAGAGGUAAGGCCUGCUCACUGAGUUUUGAAGAGCCGCAGUAUCCUGACUGUGCUAAGGUAGCAUAAUCAUUAGUCUUUUAAUUGGAGACUGGUAUGAAUGGUUCAACGAGAAAUCAACUUUUUUUAUCAUAAAAAUUGAAUUUAACUUCUUAGUGAAAAGGCUAAGAUAGUUCAAGAAGACGAGAAGACCCUAUAGAGUUUUAUAGGUUCGUGAGAUGAAUCUUGAUUGGAUUUUUUCAAGAAACUUGNUNAGAGCNUAUUUUGUUGGGGCGACAUUAAGAUAUAAAAAACUCUUUAUUUAAAAAAUUUUUAUAAAAAUAAAGUUUGAUCCUUUAAAAAAGAUUAGAAGAAAAAAUUACCUUAGGGAUAACAGCGUAAUCUUUUUUGAGAGUUCGAAUCGACAAAAAGGUUUGCGACCUCGAUGUUGGACUAAAAUUUAGGCAGGGUGCAGCAGUUCUGCUUUUAGGUCUGUUCGACCUAUAAUAUUUUACGUGAUCUGAG